GGGACACGUGGUAUCCUGUCUGAAUAUGGGGGGACCAUCCUCCAAGGCUAAAUACUCCUGACUGACCGAUAGUGAACCAGUACCGUGAGGGAAAGGCGAAAAGAACCCCGGCGAGGGGAGUGAAAAAGAACCUGAAACCGUGUACGUACAAGCAGUGGGAGCACGCUUAGGCGUGUGACUGCGUACCUUUUGUAUAAUGGGUCAGCGACUUAUAUUCUGUAGCAAGGUUAACCGAAUAGGGGAGCCGAAGGGAAACCGAGUCUUAACUGGGCGUUAAGUUGCAGGGUAUAGACCCGAAACCCGGUGAUCUAGCCAUGGGCAGGUUGAAGGUUGGGUAACACUAACUGGAGGACCGAACCGACUAAUGUUGAAAAAUUAGCGGAUGACUUGUGGCUGGGGGUGAAAGGCCAAUCAAACCGGGAGAUAGCUGGUUCUCCCCGAAAGCUAUUUAGGUAGCGCCUCGUGAAUUCAUCUCCGGGGGUAGAGCACUGUUUCGGCAAGGGGGUCAUCCCGACUUACCAACCCGAUGCAAACUGCGAAUACCGGAGAAUGUUAUCACGGGAGACACACGGCGGGUGCUAACGUCCGUCGUGAAGAGGGAAACAACCCAGACCGCCAGCUAAGGUCCCAAAGUCAUGGUUAAGUGGGAAACGAUGUGGGAAGGCCCAGACAGCCAGGAUGUUGGCUUAGAAGCAGCCAUCAUUUAAAGAAAGCGUAAUAGCUCACUGGUCGAGUCGGCCUGCGCGGAAGAUGUAACGGGGCUAAACCAUGCACCGAAGCUGCGGCAGCGACGCUUAUGCGUUGUUGGGUAGGGGAGCGUUCUGUAAGCCUGUGAAGGUGUGCUGUGAGGCAUGCUGGAGGUAUCAGAAGUGCGAAUGCUGACAUAAGUAACGAUAAAGCGGGUGAAAAGCCCGCUCGCCGGAAGACCAAGGGUUCCUGUCCAACGUUAAUCGGGGCAGGGUGAGUCGACCCCUAAGGCGAGGCCGAAAGGCGUAGUCGAUGGGAAACAGGUUAAUAUUCCUGUACUUGGUGUUACUGCGAAGGGGGGACGGAGAAGGCUAUGUUGGCCGGGCGACGGUUGUCCCGGUUUAAGCGUGUAGGCUGGUUUUCCAGGCAAAUCCGGAAAAUCAAGGCUGAGGCGUGAUGACGAGGCACUACGGUGCUGAAGCAACAAAUGCCCUGCUUCCAGGAAAAGCCUCUAAGCAUCAGGUAACAUCAAAUCGUACCCCAAACCGACACAGGUGGUCAGGUAGAGAAUACCAAGGCGCUUGAGAGAACUCGGGUGAAGGAACUAGGCAAAAUGGUGCCGUAACUUCGGGAGAAGGCACGCUGAUAUGUAGGUGAAGCGACUUGCUCGUGGAGCUGAAAUCAGUCGAAGAUACCAGCUGGCUGCAACUGUUUAUUAAAAACACAGCACUGUGCAAACACGAAAGUGGACGUAUACGGUGUGACGCCUGCCCGGUGCCGGAAGGUUAAUUGAUGGGGUCAGCGCAAGCGAAGCUCUUGAUCGAAGCCCCGGUAAACGGCGGCCGUAACUAUAACGGUCCUAAGGUAGCGAAAUUCCUUGUCGGGUAAGUUCCGACCUGCACGAAUGGCGUAAUGAUGGCCAGGCUGUCUCCACCCGAGACUCAGUGAAAUUGAACUCGCUGUGAAGAUGCAGUGUACCCGCGGCAAGACGGAAAGACCCCGUGAACCUUUACUAUAGCUUGACACUGAACAUUGAGCCUUGAUGUGUAGGAUAGGUGGGAGGCUUAGAAGUGUGGACGCCAGUCUGCAUGGAGCCGACCUUGAAAUACCACCCUUUAAUGUUUGAUGUUCUAACGU
This 1824-nucleotide ribosomal RNA is filed under the name Escherichia coli. RNAcentral's name for it is "partial 23S ribosomal RNA". It matches the Rfam family "Bacterial large subunit ribosomal RNA", at positions 419 to 2228 of the family's 2925-position model. The record is from RNAcentral. Lineage: Bacteria; Pseudomonadati; Pseudomonadota; Gammaproteobacteria; Enterobacterales; Enterobacteriaceae.